This is a long non-coding RNA of Chelonia mydas (Green sea turtle), 1055 nucleotides long. RefSeq lists it as uncharacterized. The record is from RefSeq and is a predicted model, not a curated record. NCBI's taxonomy places the organism in Eukaryota, Metazoa, Chordata, Testudines, Cheloniidae. The transcript has 3 exons.
GAACCCCAGACUGGCAGCGGACUGAGCGGAGCCAGUGGCCAGGACCCUGGCUAGCAGGGGGCUGGGUGGCUGGAACCACAGACCAGCAGCAAGGGGGAAGCUCUUCCAGUUCCUGGUAGUGAAGGAAGGAGGAUACCAGCAACUGUUCCAGGAGAAACAUGGAACUAUGAGCUGUGGUCUUGGCCAGCAAAUCAAGGAAGAUCUACUGUUCCAUAAGUUUCAGAGGGAGCUAUGGGUGUGGCCACUUCUGCUGAGGAAGCUAAAGAUGGACUCAAGUGCCUAAUUUUAGGAACCUAAGUUUGAAAAAUUUGGCCAUGGUAUUUUUUUUCCUCUUUGAAUGUACAGCUCCAACAUUUUUUAAACUUUGCAUUUAAAUAAUGUAUGGCUUAAUUUUCUCAAGAUGCACUACCCUAAGUGAGGCUAAUAUACACAUUUGCAUUAUGGGGUAUUAGAGGUUUAGAUUUGUAAGCAAGAUAAUCAAAUUAAAACCCCAAAUCUGUCUUUAUUAGAAAUGAGGGGAUAUUAACUUUUGACAUAGUACAGUAGAACCUGCACAGGAGACUACCCUUAUUAGGCAUCCCCCUGUCUUAAAAGACUAUGCCAAAAUAUCCACAAAUAUACAGAGUACACCUCUGCCCCCCUUUUAUUAAGCUGCCUCCACGAAGCAAGCAACUUUUUGCCAAAUACCUGAAGUCACUCAAGACAUAUUUCACUGUACAUAAAAUGAGGAAAUAAGAAAUGUUACCUUCUGAGGCUAUGAAGUACUUGGAGAAAAUAAUCUUAGCACAUUUUAUUAAAUUAAUUUAAAAGUUUCUGAUCAAACAUGUUCUUCUGUAAAUUCAGACUUUCAGGGGAAAUUGUUGACUAUUGUUAAUUGCUGGGUUCCUUUUAUAAAGGAGGAAAUAAUUAUUUUUUAAAAAUCUCCUGGAAAAGAGCGGUUGUGACAAAUCUUAGAACAGUAUUUCAGUGCCCCCUCAUUAAUCAAAGAAAAUCCAGAGUUAGUGAAUUUAAUUAUUUGCAAGAUGCUUCCCUUGUCUGUAUAACUGUCUUGUAAU